Molecule: ribosomal RNA, 937 nt
Filed under: uncultured Burkholderiales bacterium
Lineage: Bacteria; Pseudomonadati; Pseudomonadota; Betaproteobacteria; Burkholderiales
Description: bacterial SSU rRNA
Rfam family: Bacterial small subunit ribosomal RNA
Source: RNAcentral
GCAAGUCGAACGGUAGAGGGGGCAACCCCUUGAGAGUGGCGAACGGGUGAGUAAUAUAUCGGAACGUGCCCAGUCGUGGGGGAUAACGUAGUGAAAAUUACGCUAAUACCGCAUACGAUCUAAGGAUGAAAGCGGGGGAUCGCAAGACCUCGCGCGACUGGAGCGGCCGAUAUCAGAUUAGGUAGUUGGUAGGGUAAAGGCCUACCAAGCCAACGAUCUGUAGCUGGUCUGAGAGGACGACCAGCCACACUGGAACUGAGACACGGUCCAGACUCCUACGGGAGGCAGCAGUGGGGAAUUUUGGACAAUGGGCGAAAGCCUGAUCCAGCCAUUCCGCGUGCAGGAUGAAGGCCCUCGGGUUGUAAACUGCUUUUGUACAGAACGAAAAAGUUUCUAUUAAUACUAGGAGCUCAUGACGGUACUGUAAGAAUAAGCACCGGCUAACUACGUGCCAGCAGCCGCGGUAAUACGUAGGGUGCAAGCGUUAAUCGGAAUUACUGGGCGUAAAGCGUGCGCAGGCGGUUAUAUAAGUCAGAUGUGAAAUCCCCGGGCUCAACCUGGGAACUGCAUUUGAGACUGUAUAGCUAGAGUACGGUAGAGGGGGAUGGAAUUCCGCGUGUAGCAGUGAAAUGCGUAGAUAUGCGGAGGAACACCGAUGGCGAAGGCAAUCCCCUGGACCUGUACUGACGCUCAUGCACGAAAGCGUGGGGAGCAAACAGGAUUAGAUACCCUGGUAGUCCACGCCCUAAACGAUGUCAACUGGUUGUUGGGUCUUAACUGACUCAGUAACGAAGCUAACGCGUGAAGUUGACCGCCUGGGGAGUACGGCCGCAAGGUUGAAACUCAGAGGAAUUGACGGGGACCCGCACAAGCGGUGGAUGAUGUGGUUUAUUCGAUGCACGCGAAAAACUUACCCACUUUGACUGUACGGAAGGAU